RNAcentral lists this ribosomal RNA (1586 nucleotides) under Blattella germanica (German cockroach). RNAcentral's name for it is "bacterial LSU rRNA". It matches the Rfam family "Bacterial large subunit ribosomal RNA", at positions 1248 to 2837 of the family's 2925-position model. Lineage: Eukaryota; Metazoa; Arthropoda; Insecta; Blattodea; Blattellidae. The record is from RNAcentral.
CGGAGAAGGCGGAUCGUAAGGACCGUUGGAGCGUAUAGAAGUGAGAAUGCCGGUGUGAGUAGCGAAACGAAGGUGAGAAUCCUUCGCACCGAAAACCCAAGGUUUCCAGAGGAAGGUUCGUCCGCUCUGGGUAAGUCGGGACCUAAGGCGAGGCCGAAAGGCGUAGUCGAUGGACAACAGGUAGAAAUUCCUGUACUUACAUAGUGAAUGAAGGAGUGACGGAGAAGGCUAGUUGUACCCACUGUUGGAAAUGUGGGGGCAAGCGAGGUAGCUGGUACGUAGGCAAAUCCGCGUACUGAUAAGGCGAAGGCGUGAUGCAUAUGGAAAGCUACGGCGAGUACAGAAAUCAAUGACGCAAGCUUCCAAGAAAAGCUUCUAGUGUUAAUCAGUAUGUAACCCGUACCGAAAAUGGACACACAUGGGUGAGGAGAGAAUCCUAAGGUGAGCGAGAGAACUAUAGCUAAGGAACUCUGCAAAAUGACUCCGUAACUUCGGGAGAAGGAGUGCUCAUAGAGAUAUGAGCCGCAGUGAAACGGCCCAAGCGACUGUUUACCAAAAACACAGCUCUCUGCUAAGUCGAAAGACGAAGUAUAGGGGGUGACGCCUGCCCGGUGCUGGAAGGUUAAGAGGAUCUGUUAGACUUCGGUCGAAGCAGUGAAUUGAAGCCCCAGUAAACGGCGGCCGUAACGAUAACGGUCCUAAGGUAGCGAAAUUCCUUGUCAGGUAAGUUCUGACCCGCACGAAAGGCGUAACGAUUUGGGCGCUGUCUCAGCUGUAGACUCGGUGAAGUCUUAGUACCUGUGAAGAUGCAGGUUACCCGCGACUAGACGGAAAGACCCCAUGGAGCUUUACUGUAGCUUGAUAUUGGACUUUGAUGCAAGAUGUACAGGAUAGGUAGGAGACGAAGAGACAUGCACGCCAGUGUGUGAGGAGUCGAUGUUGGGAUACUACCCUUCUUGUAUUGGAGUUCUAACCGGGAGCCAUAAGCUGGCUACGGGACAGUGUCAGGUGGGCAGUUUGACUGGGGCGGUCGCCUCCUAAAGAGUAACGGAGGCGCCCAAAGAUACCCUCAGCUUGGAUGGAAACCAAGCGUAGAGUGCAAAGGCAAAAGGGUGUUUGACUGCGAGACCUACAAGUCGAGCAGGGACGAAAGUCGGGCUUAGUGAUCCGGCGGUGCUGAAUGGAAAGGCCGUCGCUCAACGGAUAAAAGCUACCCUGGGGAUAACAGGCUGAUCUCCCCCAAGAGUUCACAUCGACGGGGAGGUUUGGCACCUCGAUGUCGGCUCAUCGCAUCCUGGAGCUGAAGUCGGUUCCAAGGGUUGGGCUGUUCGCCCAUUAAAGCGGUACGCGAGCUGGGUUCAGAACGUCGUGAGACAGUUCGGUCCCUAUCUGUCGUGGGCGUAGGAAAUUUGAGAAGAGCUGUCCUUAGUACGAGAGGACCGGGAUGGACGUAUCAAUGGUGCACCAGUUGUCACGCCAGUGGCAUAGCUGGGUAGCUAAAUACGGAAGGGAUAAACGCUGAAGGCAUCUAAGUGUGAAACCCACUUCAAGAUGAGAUUUCCCAUUACGCAAGUAAGUAAGACCCC